RNAcentral lists this long non-coding RNA (774 nucleotides) under Ananas comosus (pineapple). RNAcentral describes it as "long non-coding RNA (ACOM_LNC005222)". Lineage: Eukaryota; Viridiplantae; Streptophyta; Magnoliopsida; Poales; Bromeliaceae. The record is from RNAcentral.
UAUAUAUAUAUAUAUAUAUAUAUGUAUAUAUAUAUAUAUAUAUGUAUAUAUAUAUAUAUAUAUAUGUAUAUAUAUAUAUAUAUGUAUAUAGAGUAGGGCUGCUGUGCUCUCAGGAGCACGGAGGCCUCCCUGCUCCUGAGCCUUUUUCUAUGAUGGAAUUUUCGAAUCGACGAUCGGCUCCGUUAGACUUGAUCUAGUGUAUUUGAAGUUUCUAGAAAAUAAUUUUUNUAAUCUUAUGAGUAUAGAGCCCUUCGUACUCAUAAAUUGUUUUCGAUAUUGGGGCUUCCGAAUCGACGAUCCAUAUCAUUAAACAGGAUCUAGAGUAUUUGAAACUUUUAGAAAAUAAAUUUCGUAAUUUUUUGAGAUCAUUAUGAAGUCCAUCAAGAAGAUAUAAAAUGAACGGUCAAAAUCGAAUGACAUCCUAAAAUUAGAUGAUCGGAUCCUUCAAUUUAAGAUCGGAGUUAUUGAUCUUUAUCUAGAUAAUGAAUAGAAUUUUUUAUCAAAAAUUCAAGCUAUUCCGAUUCUUUUACACCGUUAAACUAGCAAGUAUCACAUACCGGCCGUUAAAAAUUGUCAAUUUUGUGAGUUUUUGAUUGUAAGGUAAAUGAUAUCGAAAAAUUAUAAAAUUUGAUUUCUAGGAGUUUUAAAUGCUCUAGAUAAUAUUUAAUGGUCUGGAUCAUCGAUUCGGCAGCUUUAUUAUCGAAAACAACUUAUGAAUACGAACGCAAUCGUACUCAUAAAAGAUAGUAGCCGGACUAUAUAUAUAUAUAUAUA